Non-coding RNA from Schistosoma curassoni, 45 nucleotides. NCBI's taxonomy places the organism in Eukaryota, Metazoa, Platyhelminthes, Trematoda, Strigeidida, Schistosomatidae. The record is from Rfam.
AUUCAGCUGACGAGUCCCAAACAGGAAGAAAUGCUCGUCCUAGAU